RNAcentral lists this ribosomal RNA (407 nucleotides) under uncultured bacterium. Its description in RNAcentral is "partial 16S ribosomal RNA". It matches the Rfam family "Bacterial small subunit ribosomal RNA", at positions 30 to 526 of the family's 1533-position model. The record is from RNAcentral.
AUUGAACGCUGGCGGCAGGCCUAACACAUGCAAGUCGAGCGGAGCGGCGGACGGGUGAGUAAUACCUAGCAAUCUGCCUGGUAGUGGGGGCUAACGUUCGGAAACGGACGCUAAUACCGCAUACUAUCAGCUGAGCCUAGGUCGGAUUAGCUAGUUGGGGCGGUGAUGGCUCACCAAGGCUACGAUCCGUAACUGGUCUGAGAGGAUGAUCAGUCACACUGGAACUGGGAGACGGGCCAGACUCCUACGGGAGGCAGCAGUGGGGAAUAUUGGACAAGGGGCGAAAGCUUGAUCCAGCCAUGCCGCGUGGGUGAAGAAGGUCUUCGGAUUGUAAAGCACUGUAAGUUGGGAGGCGUUACCGACAGAAGAAGCACCGGCUAACACUGUGCCAGCAGCCGCGGUAAUAC